Molecule: small nuclear RNA, 117 nt
Organism: Ipomoea triloba (trilobed morning glory)
Lineage: Eukaryota; Viridiplantae; Streptophyta; Magnoliopsida; Solanales; Convolvulaceae
Product: U5 spliceosomal RNA
Exons: 1
Source: RefSeq, a predicted model, not a curated record
AGUCACGCAAUGAGCACAGAGCGAACUAUUCUUUCGCCUUUUACUAAAGAAUACCGUGUGUGGAUUGCAAAUAGUGGCAUACGCCAUUUUUUGGAGGGAUGUCUCUUUUAGAGGCGC